AAUUAGAUCGGAGAAGGAAUUCCCACAGUUGAACCUGAGCCCGUAGACAAGUGCGAGGCUCUCAAGCGAUUGCUCACUCUCAUCGCCCAGUGCUUCCAAGUCUCCAAUUUCUUCCCUGAGGGAAUGAAACUGCUCUCUUCGUCUUCUUGAUACCCACAUUGAUAGCAUUGAUCUUCAACAGUUAAAGUGAAAACACAUACCAAAGCAACAAAGCUAUGGUGGUGGGAAUAAUCGUUCUCAGGUAUGUGAAGUUUGCAAUCGAAUACAUGCGAAGACCUAUCCAGAAAAAUGCAAAUUUUGACAUAAUGAACGUGAGCAUCAUUAACGAAACUGAGAUUGUAUGAUGCAGUUGAAGACGCCAACGUAAAUGGAACAUAAAGAAGAGGGACAAAUAAAGAAUAGAGGAUAAAAUACAUUAGCUCCUUUCGGUUCUGUUAAUUGGUACUUUUCUCCUAUUUUUCAUUUUGUUUAUGCAUGAAUACAUAUCCAUCAUUCCUAUAUACAAUCAGAAUAACUAUGUAUUUCGUGUAUCAUCAUAUUUUUGGCCUGAAAUCUUAUUUGGAUGGUCCUGCUUCUGUACGAAGUUCUUUCUUAUAUGAUGAAUGACUUCCUCGCCUAUUUUGUGUUCAUUGCACUCUAGCGUUAGGUGUACGAAAACACACAAUUUUUUUUUCUUUCCACCUCAAGUGACAAAUUUGUAA
RNAcentral lists this small RNA (701 nucleotides) under Malus domestica (apple). RNAcentral's name for it is "sRNA MD07G0087000". Lineage: Eukaryota; Viridiplantae; Streptophyta; Magnoliopsida; Rosales; Rosaceae. The record is from RNAcentral.